RNAcentral lists this ribosomal RNA (776 nucleotides) under uncultured Neocallimastigales. Its description in RNAcentral is "partial large subunit ribosomal RNA". It matches the Rfam family "Eukaryotic large subunit ribosomal RNA", at positions 22 to 628 of the family's 3401-position model. Lineage: Eukaryota; Fungi; Neocallimastigomycota; Neocallimastigomycetes; Neocallimastigales. The record is from RNAcentral.
GUACACGCUGUGACUAGUAUAUCAAUAAGCGGAGGAAAAGAAACUAACAAGGAUUCCCCUAGUAACGGCGAGUGAAGCGGGAAGAGCUCAAAUUUGAAAUCUUAAAGGGUUUCCCUUUACGAAUUGUAGUUUAAAGAAGUGUUUUCUGUUGAGGUUUUGGUAAAAGUUCUUUGGAAUAGGACAUCAUAGAGGGUGAGAAUCCCGUAUUUGACCUUUACUUUCAACUUUGUGAUACACUUUCAAAGAGUCGGAUUGUUUGGGAAUGCAGUCCAAAAUGGGUGGUAAAUUUCAUCUAAAGCUAAAUAUUGGCGAGAGUACCGAUAGUCGAACAAGUACCGUGAGGGAAAGAUGAAAAGAACUUUGAAAAGAGAGUUAAACAGUACGUGAAAUUGUCAAAAGGGAAGCGUUUGACACCAGUGUUGUUUUUCUGAAAAUCAAUUAAAGAACUGUUUAUGCUAAGUUGUUUAGACUUUAUCAGCUAACUGUUUAGUUUUGAGCUUUUCUUUAAUGCACUUUUCAGUUAACAAGUCAACAUCAAUUUCUUUUGCUGUAAAAAAGCUUGAGGAAGGUGGCUUGAGAUUCGUCUUAAGUGUUUAUAGCCUCUUGCCUAUGCAGUCGGAGAGAUUGAGGUCUGCAGCGUAGAUCCUUCGGGGCUAAAUGCAUUUGUGCUAAGUUAUAGCAUUUUAUAGACAACUUGUUGACUAUGAUUUGUCUUGUAGCUUACUCGCUUAUGUUAUUUUACCUACGCUUAGGAUGUUGAGUCGUAGAGCACGCAG